AUCUAACUGAAAACAACUCUCAGCAACGGAUAUCUUGGCUCUUGCAACGAUGAAGAACGCAGCGAAAUGCGAUACGUAGUGUGAAUUGCAGAAUUCCGCGAAUCAUCGAGUCUUUGAACGCAAGUUGCGCCCGAGGCUUGUCCGAGGGCAUUUCCGCUAGAGCGUCACC
RNAcentral lists this ribosomal RNA (169 nucleotides) under Brachythecium kuroishicum. RNAcentral's name for it is "5.8S ribosomal RNA". It matches the Rfam family "5.8S ribosomal RNA". From Rfam's summary of the family: 5.8S ribosomal RNA (5.8S rRNA) is a component of the large subunit of the eukaryotic ribosome. It is transcribed by RNA polymerase I as part of the 45S precursor that also contains 18S and 28S rRNA. Functionally, it is thought that 5.8S rRNA may be involved in ribosome translocation. Lineage: Eukaryota; Viridiplantae; Streptophyta; Bryopsida; Hypnales; Brachytheciaceae. The record is from RNAcentral.